RNAcentral lists this ribosomal RNA (349 nucleotides) under Strepsichordaia lendenfeldi. Its description in RNAcentral is "eukaryotic LSU rRNA". It matches the Rfam family "Eukaryotic large subunit ribosomal RNA", at positions 1 to 342 of the family's 3401-position model. The record is from RNAcentral. Lineage: Eukaryota; Metazoa; Porifera; Demospongiae; Dictyoceratida; Thorectidae.
CUGGACCUCGGAUCAGGCCAGGCUACCCGCUGAAUUUAAGCAUAUUAAUAAGCGGAGGAAAAGAAACUAACAAGGAUUCCCCCAGUAACGGCGAGCGAAGCGGGAAUAGCUCAAAUUUGAAAUCUCCGGUGCGUGCACCGGCGAAUUGUAGUCUGUAGGGCCAGUUUCGCCCGAGACAGCGUCCCCAAAGUCGUCCUGGAAAGGCGAGCCGGAGAGGGUGAGAGCCCCGUACGCGGGGGCACUGUCGAAGGUAAGAUCUGUGCCCGAAGAGUCGGGUUGUUUGGGAUUGCAGCCCAAAAUGGGUGGUAAACUCCAUCUAAAGCUAAAUACCGGCACGAGACCGAUAGCG